RNAcentral lists this ribosomal RNA (253 nucleotides) under uncultured bacterium. RNAcentral's name for it is "partial 16S ribosomal RNA". It matches the Rfam family "Bacterial small subunit ribosomal RNA", at positions 524 to 776 of the family's 1533-position model. The record is from RNAcentral.
UACGUAGGGUGCGAGCGUUGUCCGGAAUUACUGGGCGUAAAGAGCUCGUAGGUGGUUUGUCGCGUUGUUCGUGAAAACUCACAGCUUAACUGUGGGCGUGCGGGCGAUACGGGCAGACUGGAGUACUGCAGGGGAGACUGGAAUUCCUGGUGUAGCGGUGGAAUGCGCAGAUAUCAGGAGGAACACCAGUGGCGAAGGCGCCGCUCUGGGCCGUGACUGACGCUGAGGAGCGAAAGCGUGGGUAGCAAACAGG